This 906-nucleotide ribosomal RNA is filed under the name uncultured bacterium. RNAcentral's name for it is "bacterial SSU rRNA". It matches the Rfam family "Bacterial small subunit ribosomal RNA", at positions 9 to 896 of the family's 1533-position model. The record is from RNAcentral.
GAGUUUGAUCCUGGCUCAGAACGAACGCUGGCGGCGUGCCUAACACAUGCAAGUCGAGCGCGAAAAGGGUAACCUGAGUAGAGCGGCGCACGGGUGCGUAACACGUGGGUAAUCUGCCUUAGAGUCGAGGAUAACCUUCCGAAAGGUUGGCUAAUACUCGGUAAGCUUACGGUGUCUUCGGACGCUGUGGGAAAAGUAGGCCUCUGUUUACAAGCUUACGCUCCAAGAUGAGCCCGCGGCCCAUCAGCUAGUUGGCGGGGUAACGGCCCACCAAGGCAACGACGGGUAGCUGGUCUGAGAGGACGAUCAGCCACACUGGAACUGAGACACGGUCCAGACUCCUACGGGAGGCAGCAGUGGGGAAUUUUCCACAAUGGGCGAAAGCCUGAUGGAGCAACGCCGCGUGUGUGAUGAAGGUUUUCGGAUCGUAAAGCACUUUCGACCGGGACGAAAAACCUCUGGCUAACAUCCAGGGGCCUGACGGUACCGGGAGAAGAAGCACCGGCUAACUCUGUGCCAGCAGCCGCGGUAAUACAGAGGGUGCAAGCGUUGUUCGGAAUUAUUGGGCGUAAAGCGCGUGUAGGCGGCUUGGCAAGUCAGAUGUGAAAGCCCUCGGCUUAACCGAGGAAGUGCGUCUGAAACUGCUGAGCUUGAGUCUCGGAGAGGAUGGCGGAAUUCCGCAAGUAGAGGUGAAAUUCGUAGAUAUGCGGAGGAACACCGGUGGCGAAGGCGGCCAUCUGGACGAGUACUGACGCUGAGACGCGAAAGCGUGGGGAGCAAACAGGAUUAGAUACCCUGGUAGUCCACGCUGUAAACGAUGAGAACUAGGUGUCGUGGGUGUUGACCCCCGCGGUGCCGCAGCUAACGCAUUAAGUUCUCCGCCUGGGAAGUACGGCCGCAAGGCUA